UUCCAAUGUUAAUCGUUCGGCCACCGCUUGCGCGACCGUUGCUGCCGGUUGCCGCCGCCAGGACUCACGGCUUGCUCCCCUCCCUUCGCCUCCGGCUCCUAUCCCAUCCGCAUACUGCCGCGGACGCAUGGCCCAACGAUGCAGCCGCGCGGUCGUCGUCUUCCAUCUCCACGACGAGGUUAGGUAUCGCAUCCCUGAUCCCCCACGCCUACCUUUCUCUCUCUCUCUCCCUGGCCCGCCCAGACUAGAUCUAUUAGGGGGGAGCUCAACUUGUUCGAUACUUCGAUCUGCAACUUGCAACUACAGCCCCAAACUAGAAAUCGCUGUCCUCAUACAGCCCCCAUCUGACUACCAACAGCUAAGCAAAACUAGAUUAUUACUAUGAUUUUUGUGAGGAUCGUCCUUCUUUGACUGGCUUGCCAUAGAGUGGUUUCGAAAGUGACAUUUCCACACCAGCUUUCUGUAUUUAAACUGCAAUUGGUGGAUAUUCGAUUUAUAUUAUAUGUUGUGGGCAUGUGUUUCCAACUCACCCAGCACUACACCAACCCAAAUUGGUGGAUACUAAUCACAUUUUAAGGUGACAAGGGAGCUCUAAUGAAUGGAGCUGCCAGAACCACCACCACUCUGCAACUAAAUCCCAAGAAACAGGUGUUAUUUGUGUUGCUUGGGACAGUGAGGGGAUACUGCAGGAUCAAGUCAGACGACCUGAGAUCAGCUUUUCUCAGGGGAUUGUUCUGCCUCUUCUCAGGGAGCUAGUACUCUACUACAGUACUACUAAGUACGGAUAUUUACAAUUCAAUAGAAACACAACUUACUGAUGGUUCUUGUGUGCUAGAAGCUUUCAUGGGCAUCUAUCUUCCGUUAUUUACUAGUUUGCUUUCUUGUAUAUACAUCAGAACCUGUCCUCAAUAUAUCACAUACAUGUACCUCUUGGUUCAUCAUGAUGUUAUGAACAAUUGAACAAAACAAGUGCAUCUUCAAAGAGAUCGAAGAAGCACAACUUCAACGAAGAGAAGGCAAAGGCUUAACACCUAUUUUUCCAUAUCAGGAUUUGGGCCAAAGAGAAGCUUCCAAGUUUCAAACAUAUGGGCAUGGAAGCUGCUGUAUGGAUUAUUUAAGAUUGUGGGAGACAAGUUAGCACCACUUGUAAUAAGAGAGUAUAGUUCUCUUAUGGGUGUUACGAAAGAUCUCCAGGAGCUUCAAGAUUUAGUUGAGGAGAUCAAAAGCGGGCUACAGGUAGCAGGUGAUAAUGCAAUUGGUAAUAAACCACCAUCUAAUUGGCUAAAAAAAUUGAAAGAUUUUGCUUACGAUCUUGAAGAUUUGGUACAUGAAUUUCAUCUUCAGUCUGAGAAACAUGACACAGAUAAUGAUCGUGACAAGUAUGCUGUGCUCAAAUACAUGCGCACAAAACCAAAACUAGCCAUGUUUCAACUCAAAAUGGCCAACAAGAUAAAGACAAUCAAAAACAGAUUUGCUGCAAUUGUCGAGCAAAGAGGCGAUGUCAAUACUAUAUUGAAUGCUAUACCAAUCGAUCAUAAUGUUCAUAAAAACAAGAUUAUCAGUGAGCCAUCCUUAUUGGGCAAUGUUGAUGACUCAAAAAUACAUGUGAGAUGAGGAGAAGCACAAGAUCAUAUGUAAGUUAAUAGAUGACCAACAGAAAAUCUCAAUAGUUUCAAUUGUUGGACUUGGUGGAACCGGUAAAACUACUAUGGCCACACACAUCUGUCAUGACAACAAAAUAAAAGAGCAUUUUGAAGGCUCAAUAUUUUGGGUUCACGUGUCACAAGAAUUUGAUAAUAACAAACUCGUCGGCAAGCUGUAUGAAGCCAUUUUAAAGAAAACAUCAUAUCUUCGUACCGACCAACAGAUGGUUGAAGCAAUUUCAAACGAGUUGAAUGGGAAUAAGUUUCUACUUGUCUUGGAUGAUGCUUGGCACAAGAAUCAAUAUGACUGGGAACGAUUCAUGCUAUAUCUUAAGAGUGGAUCACCUGGAAGCCGGAUUUUGCUCACAACUCGUGAUCAGGGAGUUGCGGAGGCAGUGGAAUCUACAUGUACAUAUAAGUUGGCUUUCUUGUCAGAUGAGGACAGCUGGAAUUUAUUUCAACAAAGUUUAAGGUUAGCUGCAAAAGGUCUGCCCUCUGAAUUUGUAGAAAUUGGAAGAGAGAUUAUUAAAAAAUGUGGUGGGGUGCCACUGGCAAUUAAAAUUCUUGCAGGUGUCCUCCGUAACAAGAAAACAGUAGAUGCAUGGUGUGCCUUACGUGAUAGUAACAUGUGGAAUGUUGAUGAUAUAGAAGAUAGAGUGUUUGCGUCAUUAAGGCUGAGCUAUUUUCAUCUGCCUGAUCAUCUGAAGCAAUGUUUUGUAUAUUGCUCUAUAUUUCCUAAAGGCUACAAGAUCUACAAACACCAGUUGAUCGGAGAGUGGAUAGCAAAUGGCUUCAUCAAUCCAAUGAAUGAGAUUGAACAAGUAGAGGAUGUUGCAAAUGACUGCUUUGAUUCUCUUCUGAAAGUGCACUUUCUCCAAGAUCUAGAGGUAGAUGAGUAUGAUGAAAUGGAAAUAUGCAAGAUGCAUGACCUGGUUCUUGACCUUACUCGGCAAAUUUUACAGGGUGAAAUGGUGUCUCAUUCUCAGAAUGCAACUAUUGGUAAUUCCCAAAAAUGCAGAUAUUUAUCUUUGGCUUCGUGCAAUGAGAAUAUUGAAGUGAAGUUAUUUAGCAAGGUCCAUGCUAUCUAUAUUUCUGGUGACAACUUCGCACUCAACAAGCCAAUCAAGAAAAGGUGCCAUGUUCGUUCUAUUAUUUUGGAGAGUAUGGGCGCUACUAAUUUGUUGCUUCCAUUGAUACCAAAGUUCGAAUAUCUUAGCUAUUUUCGUAUCUCACACGCUAGCUGUCGAGCCUUUCCAGAAGAAAUCUCACAUUGCUGGAACUUGCAGGCCCUUCAUGUUACAUAUUGCAGGGCACUUACCACAUUACCUGAGUCUAUUGGUAAGCUUAAGAAGCUGAGAACCCUAGAGUUGUCAUGUCUUUUGGAUCUUGAAAGUUUGCCUCAGUCCAUUGGUGACUGUCAUAAUCUUCAAAGCUUUCUCCUGCGUGGCAGUGGUAUCAGGGAGAUACCAAACUCCAUAUGUAAAAUUAAAAAACUAAGAGUGCUUAACAUUAUGCAUUGUCGCUCUUUGAGGCAACAAUGGUCAGAAUUCUUUGGGACGCUUUGCAACUUACAGUCCAUCAACUUAGCACAGAUUGAGGGUAUCCACAACUUGUUCAGUUCAUUUGCUUGUCAUAAACUACGCACUUUGACACUUAGUGGAACCGAAAUUACCAGACUACCGCAAUGCCUCACAUUGGUGAGCACCCUGGAAUACAUAGACCUUCAAAACUGCUGGGGGCUGCUAGAGUUAUCGGAGGGCAUAGGGAACCUAGAGAGGCUUGAAGUUUUGAACCUAAAAGGAUGCUCGAAUUUGGGUGGCCUGCCAGUAGGGAUUGGACAGCUAACUCAUCUUCAAAGGCUGCAUUUGUUUGUUAUAGGUGGCAGUAGCGAGCAUGCAAGAAUAUCAGGGCUUCGAAACCUCAACUUGUUAACCGACAAUGAUCUGGAAAUAAAAAUUAUUAAAUAUGUAGAGGAUCCAGAUGAUGCAGAAAAGGCCUCCCUGAAGGAAAAGAGUGGUAUACUCAAUUUGACAUUGGAUUGGUCUUCAAAUGGUGCAGAAGGGUGCUCGGAUAGUCUGGAAGAAGAGCCAUUAUUAGAUAUGGAAAAGGAGCUGCGUGUGCUCAAUGGUCUUGAACCACCAUCACAAAUUAAGAAGCUGAAUAUCUAUAAUUACAAAGGUAAGCAUUUCUCACGUUGGAUGAUGAAGCAAAGAGAAUCCUCUUGUUCAGAUAGCUUGUUAGAGCAAAUUGAUCCACCUCAUUUCACUCAACUGACUAAACUUGUAUUGGAACAAUUUCCAAACUUGGAGAAUCUGCAAGGACUUGCACGGUUGCCUUCAUUGAAUACUUUUGUAUUGAAAGGAAUGCCUAAUUUGGUGGAGUUGUGGACAAGCUCACCUGCAUUAGUAAGUGGGGAGGAAGGAAAGCCCUGUUGUAUUGAUCACGAACAAGUUGAGCACUGCUUCCCUUUCCUAUCCACUCUAGUCAUGAGUGAUUGUCCUAAGCUGAAGUAAUGCCCAUGUUUCCCACCAUAUUUGGAUAGCUUGACACUGGAACGAAGCAACGAGCAGCUGCUGUCUCAAGUUAGCUUCUCUCAUCCGCUCCAUCCUCUUGACAAGGAAUCCUCAUCCAUCUGCUUUAGUGUGGAUUCCCCUCACCUCAAGAAAUUAGAACUAGGAGGAAUGGCUGGAUCAUCGUCAGGUUGGGAAGUGCUGCAGAACCUCACCGGGCUCGAAUCCUUGUCAAUUUAUUCCAGUGACCUAAGGCAAUUAGGGGAGAUCAUCCGGAGCCUCACCUCCCUCCAGUAUCUUUGUAUCUCGGGUUGCCCAGUUCUUGCCAUGCUGCCAGAGUGGCUGGGGGGAUUCCGCUCUCUGCAAACUCUAGUUCUGAAAGAAAUCCCACUAUUGGCUAGCCUCCCCAAGUCGAUCAUGCUCCUUACAUCCCUGGAGAAGUUGGCUAUUGUUGAAUGCGACAAUCUAAAGGAGUUGCCUGAGGUGGUAAAUCAUCUCACCUCCCUCAAGGAAUUGGAUAUUUCUAGUUGCAGAAAUCUGAGCCAGUUGCCUGAGGGAAUUCAGCAUCUUACCAACCUUGAAGACCUAAGUAUACAGGACUGUCUUGCCCUCCACAAGCUGCCAGAAGGACUGGGGAUGUUAGGUUCUCUAGAGGACCUUAUGAUCAAUAUCUUGCCUGUCCUUACGACCCUUCUGGAGUCCAUGCAGGGGCUCACCUCACUCCGGCACAUCAACUUGAUGAGCUGCCCUAUGCUCACCGUGCUGCCAGAGUCACUCAGACAACUCUCCGCGCUCCGAUCGCUUUAUAUGCAAAGCUGCACUGGCCUUCGAUCCUUGCCCAGCUCCAUACAACACCUUACUUCUCUUCAGCAUUUGGUGAUUAGUUACAACCCUACCUUGAGUAGGCAUUACAAAAAUAGGGUCGGGAAGGACUGGCACAUCAUCUCCCAUAUUCCUGUUGUGGAGAUACGAGAUUAGGGAGCAUGCUGGGCACUAACAACAAAUAAACGAGCAUGGCAAGAACCCCCUGCUGGUGGAGUCGUGGAGCAGAGCAUAUGUGUUCAUG
Oryza sativa Japonica Group (Japanese rice) is the source of this 5219-nucleotide non-coding RNA. Lineage: Eukaryota; Viridiplantae; Streptophyta; Magnoliopsida; Poales; Poaceae. The record is from RefSeq and is a predicted model, not a curated record.